UUCUAACUUAAUUUAUCUAUGAUUGAACUUUACACUUUUAUUUUUAUUUUAAGACAGACAGAGAAGGUAGGCACCCCACUAUUCAGAGAUUCUAGCACUAGUAGAAAAAUAUAAAAAGGCACCGCUCAAUGGCCACCGAUUUUCGAAAACUCAUGGCUUAAAAAAUGGGCGGGAUUAUAUAUAUUUAAAUUGCCACCGGUUCAAACUGAACCGGUGGCAUAAAUGGUAAAGGCCACCGGUGGCUUUGUUAAAAAAAAAAAAAACGCGCCUCAUCUCUUAAUUAUAUUAGCUUAGCUAUUCUUCUAUCUUCUCGUACUCUCUCCUUUGUUUUCUCCCUCUUCUCGAUUUCUCCGUCUCCUCUCUCUUCUCUCUGCUCAAACUUUCCUUUCUCUCUCUUCACUUGCCUCCUCUUGCUCCAUCUACCGCCGCCCCAUCUACCGCCGCUCCACUAUUCUUUCUUUCACUCCUCCCUUGGCAGCACUAAUGGGGAAUUCAGGAUUUGAGGAUGACGGCGGUUGUGAAUGUUGUCACCACCAUCGUAAUUGACAGUCUAUUUAUUUACUGGUGCCAGAUCUUUGCAGAUGUGGUGGGAUUCUUCACGAAGGCUAUUACUUCAACUGGAACAAAGAAAGGUGAACUGUUUUUGGUGAUGUGAGUACUCAGGUGAAAAACAACAAUGUCACAGCUGAUAUCAAAGUAGACACCGGCUCUAAUCUUGGUUGGGGUUAUGUUGUGAUGAGGUUGAUGAACAUGUUCUCUUCACGGCACCAAGGUGAUUAAGGUGACUGUGGUCGCGAUUCGCCAGCCCACUCCAUUUCUCUAUCUCUUCUUGAGUCCUCUGCUUAAAUCCGAGAAUAAGGUACCAUCACAAGGAGAGAAUGUAACUAAUACUUCUCCUCAGGCCGGGGCACCAGACCUUCAGAUGUCACGGUCCCGAAAUCAGGUUCCAUUGUUCAAGUUUGAAUUGCAGAACAUCCUCGCAAGGCUGCUGCUGCUGCCUCGCAAGGCUGGGUUGCUGUUGCAGCUGCUGCCUCACAAGGAUAAUGGCAGACCCUUCGUUUCUGCAUAAGCUUUUGUUCGAGCAGUUUGUCACUAUAGCUUGUUCUGUUCGGUCUAAACUGAAAAACCGGAAGGGCAGAAUAAAGGAGGAAUGGAAUUUAGCACUUAUAAAUGUACUCACAGUAGUAGCGUGCACGCUCCUUGCUGCUCAUAUGCCAAUACCUUCAGCUCUGAUCUACAGAACAGACUGCAGAAGCUCCCAAACAACAUAUUUGAAGCAAGUUAUCGUUAUAGAGAAUUUGAUCUGCAGAAAAGAGUACUGUCUUUUUUAUGCAAGGCUGUACAAUUUAGUUUAGUGGGAUUUACAGCAGGGGCACUUCAGAGCGCCUUGUUCAUGUUCAUGGCGUUGUUCUGCUACUGUGCAGCCUCUUUGUUUGUAACCUGGUAUUUUAUUUUAUUUUUUUGGACAAAAAUUGUAAUAUUACAUCAUUUUUUUA
Long non-coding RNA from Chenopodium quinoa (quinoa), 1496 nucleotides. RefSeq lists it as uncharacterized. The record is from RefSeq and is a predicted model, not a curated record. The transcript is spliced from 6 exons. Lineage: Eukaryota; Viridiplantae; Streptophyta; Magnoliopsida; Caryophyllales; Amaranthaceae.